This 3065-nucleotide ribosomal RNA is filed under the name Salmonella enterica. RNAcentral describes it as "23S ribosomal RNA". It matches the Rfam family "Bacterial large subunit ribosomal RNA". The record is from RNAcentral. Lineage: Bacteria; Pseudomonadati; Pseudomonadota; Gammaproteobacteria; Enterobacterales; Enterobacteriaceae. RNAcentral also lists the same sequence under 169 other names.
GGGUUGUGAGGUUAAGCGACUAAGCGUACACGGUGGAUGCCCUGGCAGUCAGAGGCGAUGAAGGGCGUGCUAAUCUGCGAUAAGCGCCGGUAAGGUGAUAUGAACCGUUAUAACCGGCGAUACCCGAAUGGGGAAACCCAGUGUGACUCGUCACACUAUCAUUAACUGAAUCCAUAGGUUAAUGAGGCGAACCGGGGGAACUGAAACAUCUAAGUACCCCGAGGAAAAGAAAUCAACCGAGAUUCCCCCAGUAGCGGCGAGCGAACGGGGAGGAGCCCAGAGCCUGAAUCAGCAUGUGUGUUAGUGGAAGCGUCUGGAAAGGCGCGCGAUACAGGGUGACAGCCCCGUACACAAAAGCGCAUGUGCUGUGAGCUCGAUGAGUAGGGCGGGACACGUGGUAUCCUGUCUGAAUAUGGGGGGACCAUCCUCCAAGGCUAAAUACUCCUGACUGACCGAUAGUGAACCAGUACCGUGAGGGAAAGGCGAAAAGAACCCCGGCGAGGGGAGUGAAAAAGAACCUGAAACCGUGUACGUACAAGCAGUGGGAGCCCCACCACCAAAGCAUUUGCUGUACCGCGUUGACGGAGCGAAGCGACGUCAAACCGAUAAAACAGCAGUGUAAAGUGAGCCGCAGGGCGCUUUGCGCGACAGCGCAAAGGCAGGCGGUUUCGCGUAGCGAAAGCGAAUGCUUUGGGGUGGGGUGACUGCGUACCUUUUGUAUAAUGGGUCAGCGACUUAUAUUCUGUAGCAAGGUUAACCGAAUAGGGGAGCCGGAGGGAAACCGAGUCUUAAUUGGGCGUUAAGUUGCAGGGUAUAGACCCGAAACCCGGUGAUCUAGCCAUGGGCAGGUUGAAGGUUGGGUAACACUAACUGGAGGACCGAACCGACUAAUGUUGAAAAAUUAGCGGAUGACCUGUGGCUGGGGGUGAAAGGCCAAUCAAACCGGGAGAUAGCUGGUUCUCCCCGAAAGCUAUUUAGGUAGCGCCUCGUGAAUUCAUCUCCGGGGGUAGAGCACUGUUUCGGCUAGGGGGCCAUCCCGGCUUACCAACCCGAUGCAAACUGCGAAUACCGGAGAAUGUUAUCACGGGAGACACACGGCGGGUGCUAACGUCCGUCGUGAAGAGGGAAACAACCCAGACCGCCAGCUAAGGUCCCAAAGUCAUGGUUAAGUGGGAAACGAUGUGGGAAGGCCCAGACAGCCAGGAUGUUGGCUUAGAAGCAGCCAUCAUUUAAAGAAAGCGUAAUAGCUCACUGGUCGAGUCGGCCUGCGCGGAAGAUGUAACGGGGCUAAACCAUGCACCGAAGCUGCGGCAGCGACACUGUGUGUUGUUGGGUAGGGGAGCGUUCUGUAAGCCUGUGAAGGUGUGUCGUGAGGCAUGCUGGAGGUAUCAGAAGUGCGAAUGCUGACAUAAGUAACGAUAAAGCGGGUGAAAAGCCCGCUCGCCGGAAGACCAAGGGUUCCUGUCCAACGUUAAUCGGGGCAGGGUGAGUCGACCCCUAAGGCGAGGCCGAAAGGCGUAGUCGAUGGGAAACGGGUUAAUAUUCCCGUACUUGGUGUUACUGCGAAGGGGGGACGGAGAAGGCUAUGUUGGCCGGGCGACGGUUGUCCCGGUUUAAGCGUGUAGGUGUGUGUUCCAGGUAAAUCCGGUUCACUUUAACACUGAGGCGUGACGACGAGGCACUACGGUGCUGAAGCAACAAAUGCCCUGCUUCCAGGAAAAGCCUCUAAGCAUCAGGUAACAUCAAAUCGUACCCCAAACCGACACAGGUGGUCAGGUAGAGAAUACCAAGGCGCUUGAGAGAACUCGGGUGAAGGAACUAGGCAAAAUGGUGCCGUAACUUCGGGAGAAGGCACGCUGACACGUAGGUGAAGUGAUUUACUCAUGGAGCUGAAGUCAGUCGAAGAUACCAGCUGGCUGCAACUGUUUAUUAAAAACACAGCACUGUGCAAACACGAAAGUGGACGUAUACGGUGUGACGCCUGCCCGGUGCCGGAAGGUUAAUUGAUGGGGUCAGCGCAAGCGAAGCUCCUGAUCGAAGCCCCGGUAAACGGCGGCCGUAACUAUAACGGUCCUAAGGUAGCGAAAUUCCUUGUCGGGUAAGUUCCGACCUGCACGAAUGGCGUAAUGAUGGCCAGGCUGUCUCCACCCGAGACUCAGUGAAAUUGAACUCGCUGUGAAGAUGCAGUGUACCCGCGGCAAGACGGAAAGACCCCGUGAACCUUUACUAUAGCUUGACACUGAACAUUGAGCCUUGAUGUGUAGGAUAGGUGGGAGGCUUUGAAGUGUGGACGCCAGUCUGCAUGGAGCCGACCUUGAAAUACCACCCUUUAAUGUUUGAUGUUCUAACGUGGACCCGUUACCCGGGUUGCGGACAGUGUCUGGUGGGUAGUUUGACUGGGGCGGUCUCCUCCUAAAGAGUAACGGAGGAGCACGAAGGUUGGCUAAUCCUGGUCGGACAUCAGGAGGUUAGUGCAAUGGCAUAAGCCAGCUUGACUGCGAGCGUGACGGCGCGAGCAGGUGCGAAAGCAGGUCAUAGUGAUCCGGUGGUUCUGAAUGGAAGGGCCAUCGCUCAACGGAUAAAAGGUACUCCGGGGAUAACAGGCUGAUACCGCCCAAGAGUUCAUAUCGACGGCGGUGUUUGGCACCUCGAUGUCGGCUCAUCACAUCCUGGGGCUGAAGUAGGUCCCAAGGGUAUGGCUGUUCGCCAUUUAAAGUGGUACGCGAGCUGGGUUUAGAACGUCGUGAGACAGUUCGGUCCCUAUCUGCCGUGGGCGCUGGAGAACUGAGGGGGGCUGCUCCUAGUACGAGAGGACCGGAGUGGACGCAUCACUGGUGUUCGGGUUGUCAUGCCAAUGGCACUGCCCGGUAGCUAAAUGCGGAAGAGAUAAGUGCUGAAAGCAUCUAAGCACGAAACUUGCCCCGAGAUGAGUUCUCCCUGAGACUUAGAGUCUCCUGAAGGAACGUUGAAGACGACGACGUUGAUAGGCCGGGUGUGUAAGCGCAGCGAUGCGUUGAGCUAACCGGUACUAAUGAACCGUGAGGCUUAACCUUACAACGCCGAAG